UGUGGAAAUGGGUUGACAGGUGGAAAUGGGUUGACAGGUGGAAAUGGGUUGACAGGUGGAAAUGGGUUGACAGGUGGAAAUGGGUUGACAGGUGGAAAUGGGUUGCUAGAAGAUGAAAUAGGUCAAAACACACAUAGGUACAUAUCACCUUUUUUUUUUUUUAUUGUUUGUUUGUUUUGGAAAUGUAGAGGAAAUAGGGGAGGAGGAAGAAGAGGAGGAGGAGGAGGAGGCAGAGAAGAAGAAAAAGUUGAGAGAAAGAUUGGAUAUACUUCAUUCUUCCCUCCUCCUCCUCCUCCUCCUCUUCCUCUUCCUCUUCCUCUUCCUCCUCCUCCUCCUUGGCAGCUCAUUAGUCAAGGUUAUUAUCAUUAUUAUUAUUAUUAUUAUUAUUAUUAUUAUUAUGCUUUACGAAAACUGAAAUGCCCAUAAGAUUUGGUUGAAAGAGGAAUAGAGAUUGAUUAUAAGGGAAGUAAAUUGUGUAAGGAGGAAGAGGAGGAGGAAGGAGAAGAGAAGGAAGGAAAGGAAGAGGAGGAGGAGGAGGAGGAGGAGGAAGAGAUUGAACAAGAGAAGGAGGAGGAGGAGGAAGAGAUUGAACAAGAGAAGGAGGAGGAGGUAGAGGAAGAACAGGAGGAGGAGGAGGAGAAACAAUAGGAAGAAGAAGAAGAGGAAGAGGUAGAGAAUGUCGGAUAAUUGAUGUCAUUUCGUCUAUACUUUUGGGGGAUCACGGAUAAUUUGGGGGUAUUAAAGAUGAAACUAAUUACCGUACUUAUAUUCAGAACACUACUACUACUACUACUACUACUACUACUACUACUACUACUACUACUACUACUACUACUACUACUACUACUACUACUACUACUACUACUUCUACCUCUACUUCUACUACUACCCAAAUCUACCUGAUCACUAUUUUUAAGUGUGUGUGUGUGUGUGUGUGUGUGUGUGUGUGUGUUUUUGGAGAGAGAGAGAGAGAGAGAGAGAGAGAGAGAGAGAGAGAGAGAGAGAGAGAGAGAGAGAGAGAGAAAUCGAAAAGACAUAUUAUGCUCGGAAAGGCUGCUACACACACACACACACACACACACACACACACUGUUACCAAUGUGCAAUCUAACACUCUCGUCACUCCACUGUUACCAAGUUUCCUCAGCAGGCUGGAAUGGGAAUAUACAGUGUGGGAAUGCAUGUAUACUGACUUGGAAUAGGAUUUGGAAUGCCUCUAAGGGUGCUGGGUAGACUGGGUUAGAUGGGAGUUUAAAGAGAGGCAUGUUAGGUUAGGUUAGCGUUGGUUAAGUUAGGUUAGUUUAGCAUAUAGGAGGCAGGUUAGGUUAGGUUAGGUUAGGUUAAGUUAGGUUAGUUUAGCAUAUAGGAGGCAGGUUAGGUUAGGUUAGGUUAGGUUAGCAUAGGUUAGGAUAGAUAAACAUAGGUUAGGUUAGCUUAGGUUAGGUUAGGUUAGGAUAGAUAAACAUAGGUUAGGUUAGGUUAGGUUAGGUUAGCAUAGGUUAGGAUAGAUAAACAUAGGUUAGGUUAGGUUAGGUUAAUGUAUUUGCAAAGCUAUUUCUGGCUAUGUGGAUAUACUGAAAGAGAUAGAUUGUGUCAGAAGAUUGGAACAUAUGGUCAAGGAAUUAGGUUUGGACAUAGUAAGAUUAGAUUCAGUUAGGUUAGGUUAGGUCAAUGUAUAUAUAAAUCUAUUUCUGCAUAUGUGUGGAUAUACAGACAGACAGAUUGUGUCGAAUAUAUGGUCAAAGAAUUAGGUUUGGACAUACUAAGAUUAGAUUCAGUUAGGUUAGGUUAGGUUAGGUUAGGUCAAUGUAUAUAUAAAUCUAUUUCUGGGUAUGUGUGGAUAUACUGAGAGAUAGAUUGUGUCGAAUAUAUGGUCAAAGAAUUAGGUUUGGACAUACUAAGAUUAGAUUCAGUUAGGUUAGGUUAGGUUAGGUCAUUGUAUAUAUAAAGCUAUUUCUGGUCAAAGAAUUAGGUUUGGCCAUACUAAGAUUAGAUUCAGUUAGGUUAGGUUAGGUUAGGUCAAUGUAUAUAUAAAGCUAUUUCUGCGUGUGUUUGGGUAUACUGACAAACUGAAUCAGAAUAUAGGAACACAGGGUCACGAUAUAUUAGGUUACAAUGCAGAUAAGGUCGCAUUAGGGCAGACUAAGCUAUGGUAUUGGGCACUAUAGGGUACUGGCUGGUGUUGGCUAUAGUGACUCAUAGAUUGAAUAUAAGGGUAUGAGAGAGUAUGAAAUAGACAUUUGAGAUUAGUUAAGACACAGAACAGGGAGAGGGAGGGGGAGAGGCGGAGUAUAUUAAUAACCAAAGAUUGUGUGUGUGUGUGUGUGUGUGUGUGUGUGUGUGAUCAUGUGUACUUUUAAGAGCCAAAGACUGUGUGCGUUUUUCUGUGUGUAUGUGCGUGUGUUUUAAUAAGUAAGUUCGACAUGUGUGUGUGUGUGUUUACUUGUGUUUUUUAAUUAUUUUGGGGUUUCCAUACGGUGGUUUGGUAUAAAUAAUAAUAAUAAUAAUAAUUGCAUGUUUUUUUAUAUUUCUACUUUUAAAACAUUUACGUAUUAUCGAAGUACAUAUAUUUUCCUUUCUCCAGUGUGCUGUUUGGGGUUAGAUUCUCCCUCUACGUAAAGGUUUUCAUCUCUGUCCAACAUUCGAGCGAGAGAGUCUAUCAGUGAAAUAAUAAUAAUAAUAAUAAUAAUAAUAAUGAUAAUAUGAAGGGAAGGAUAUAAGAAUCAAUAUAGCCUAUGCGAAAUAUUUAAACCUUAGGCCUACAGCGAUAUUUUUUUAGCUUGUGGAAAGAAUAAGAAAAAGAAGAAAAAAAAGCAUUGAGGGAAAGUAGACAAGGAGAAAAGACUUGAUUGAGGGAACGGAAAGAGGAAAUUGAGCAUGGAAAGGAAGGAAGGAAGGAGAGAAAGAGAAAAGGGAGGAGAGGAAAGAAAGAGAAAGAGGGAAGGAAGGAAGGAAGGAGAGAAACAGAGGAAAGGAAGAAAGGAAGGAGAGAAAGAAAGGAAAGGAAGGAAGGAGAGAAACAGGAAAGGAAGGAAAGAGAUAAACAGGAAAGGAAGGAGAGAAACAGGAAAGGAAGGAGAGGAAAGAAAGGAAGGAAGGAGAGAAAGAGGAAAGAAAGGAAGGAGAGGAGAGAAACAGAGGAAAUACAGACUGUCAGAAUAGGUUAAAAAAAAUUCUAAAAAAAACAAACCUCUCGUAAAAACACAUAAAUUCCAACACACACAAACACACCCAUGACCCGCCCUCGCAAGAGACGACACAACCUUUACUCUCGGCACUACGGAACAUACGACAAAGCUUACACAAGGUCCAUAAAUGAAGUUACAAUGGGAUAAAACCGAACAUACGUAACUUGCUAAGGAUUUACGAGGAUACGAAAGAAAGGGACAUGUUCGGACCUUGCGCAGAAGACAACAUAGGGAUUAGCCUUGCCGUUACAGAUUAAAGAAGGAAGGGAAUUGAAGAGGAGGAGGAGGAGGAGAUGAAGGAAAAGGAGGAGGAGGAGGAGGAAUUAAGAGAGAGAGAAAGCAAGAUUUGAUACGAAGAGAAAGGAGAAGGAAUAGGAGGAGGAGGAGGAGGAGGAAUUAAGAGAGAGAGAAAGCAAGAUUUGAUACGAAGAGAAAGGAGAAGGAAGAAGAGAAGGAAUAAGAGGAGGAGGAGGAGGAGAAAGAAGAAGAGGAGGAGGAGGAGGAGGAAUUAAGAGAGAGGGAAAGCAAGAUUUGACAAGAAGAGGAAGGAGGAAGAAGCAAAAAAGAACGAGAGAGAGAAAUCAUAAAAAAAAAAGUACAUUGAUAAAGAGAAAAACAGAAGAAAAUACAAUAGAUAAUAAAUGACAAGUGAGAAAAUGGCUGUUAAUAGGAAUGAGGGUGGGAGGGAGAGGGCAGGAAGGAAGGGAGGACAUCACACAAUACACCCUCUCACUAAUUCUCCCUUCCUCCCUUCCCCUCCCUCUCCGCGGCACCCUCGUAGAGUUAGCUAAGGGUGGAUAGGCCAGUAGGGGGUCAUCGCUAAUCUGUACGCACUGUGCCGGAAGGGGGAUCGUGAUGUUGAGUUGACGUAAGGGAGAUUGAACUAUGAAAUUGAUGUUACAAUGAAAGAAAACUUGGUAUUUGAUGGAUAACUUAAAGAAAAUGUUGUACGCACUGUGACGGAAGGGGGAUCGUGAUGUUGAGUUGUCGUAAGGAAGAAUUAACUAUGAAAUUGAUGAUAGAAUGAAAGAAAACUUGGUAUUUGAUGGAUAACUUAAAGAAAAUGUCAUACGCACUGUGGCGGAAGGGAGAUUGCAAUGUUGAGUUGACGAAAUGAAGAUUGAACUAUGAAAUUGAUGAUAAAAUGAAAGAAAACUUGGUAUUUGAUGGAUAACUUAAAGAAAAUGUUGUUCGCACUGUGACGGAAGGGAGAUUGCAAUGUUGAGUUGACGAAAUGAAGAUUGAACUAUGAAAUUGAUGAUAGAAUGAAAGAAAACUUGGUAUUUGAUGGAUAACUUAAAGAAAAUGUUGUACGCACUGCGGCGGAAGGGAGAUUGCGAUGUUGAGUUGAUGUAAGGAAGAAUUAACUGUGAAAUUGAUGAUGAAAUGAAAGAAAACUUGGUAUUUGAUGUAUAAGAAAAUGUUGUACGCACUGUGGCGGAAGGGAGAUUGCAAUGUUGAGUUGACGAAAUGAAGAUUGAACUAUGAAAUUGAUGAUGGAAUGAAAGAAAACUUGGUAUUUGAUGAAUAACUUAAAGAAAAUGUCAUACGCACUGUGGCGGAAGGGAGAUUGCGAUGCUGAGUUGACGAAAUGAAGAUUGAACUAUGAAAUUGAUGAUGGAAUGAAAGAAAGUCGUCUGCAAUUCUAACACAUUUCAACUCUCUCGUCAUCAAAAAUUUUCUGAAAGAUAUGCGUAUAUUUAAAUUAAUUCUCGUUUCUUAACCAACACAAAAAAAAAGAACAUUAUCAAACUCGACCGCAAUUCUAAGACAUUUCAAAUUUCUCGUUAUCCAAAAAAUUCUGAAAGGUUAAUGUAUAUUUAAAUUAAUUCUCGUUUCUUAACCAACACAAAAAAAAAGAACAUUAUCAAACUCGACCGCAAUUCUAAGACAUUUCAAAUUUCUCGCUAUAAAAAAAUUUCUAAAAGGAAUAUAUAUUUAAGUUCCCGUUUCAUAAUCAAAAAUGUAUUCUAGUUAAAGUCAAUUUCUAUGGUCUGUUUUUCCCGUCAUGACUAAAAUAUAUCAGGUCUAUGCUGUGGUUCAAUAUAUCUCUUUUUUUCACUAAUACGAGUCCUAAUUUUUGUGAUAUACUAAUUUUACGCUGAGACUCAAAAUACCGCGUACUCUCCCUUAAUAUAUCAGGUCUAUGCUGUGGUUCAAUAUCUCAGUUUUUCACUAAUACGAGUCCUAAUUUUUGUGAUAUACUAAUUUUACGCUGAGACUCAAAAUAUCGCGUACUGUCCCUUAAUAUAUCAGGACUAUGCUGUGGUUUAAUAUCUCAGUUUUUCACUAAUACGAGUCCUAAUUUUUGUGAUAUACCAAUUUUACGCUGAGACUCAAAAUAUCGCGUACUCUCCCUUAAUAUAUCAGGACUAUGCUGUGGUUUAAUAUCUCAGUUUUUCACUAAUACGAGUCCUAAUUUUUGUGAUAUACCAAUUUUACGCUGAGACUCAAAAUACUGCGUACUCUCCCUUAAUAUAUCAGGACUAUGCUGUGGUUUAAUAUCUCAGUUUUUCACUAAUACGAGUCCUAAUUUUUGUGAUAUACUAAUUUUACACUGAGACUCAAAAUACCGUGUACUCUCCCUUAA
This is a long non-coding RNA of Eriocheir sinensis (Chinese mitten crab), 5778 nucleotides long. RefSeq lists it as uncharacterized. NCBI's taxonomy places the organism in Eukaryota, Metazoa, Arthropoda, Malacostraca, Decapoda, Varunidae. The record is from RefSeq and is a predicted model, not a curated record. The transcript has 7 exons.